UUAAAUUACUUUGAGCUGCUGUGAUUAUCAAGUCAAGUCAUCCAAGACAGCUAGGAACACCAGAAAUGAUAUACAUACCUAUACAUACAUAAUAUAUAUAUAUAUAUAUAUAUAUAUAUAUAUAUAUAUAUAUAUAUAAUGUGUUGCCAUUUGAGUGUUGUCUUCAUUCAUUUUCACAUCCUCACGGAACGCAAACAUGAAAAUCUUGUGGUUUCUUCAAUGUCUCUUCUUCAUGGCUAUGCUUCUCAUCAAUCCAUCUGUUGCUCCCAAUGCACCAGCUCCUCCUUCAGGUGGUGACUUGAAGGUGCCAGAAGCACCCCCUCAACUGCUACACAAGGUCUCUGGUUCACGUCCAUGAAGAAUUUCUAGACAAGCUUAUAUAUAUAAAGUUUGCUUCUUCUAUAUAUAGUACUAUCUCUUUUCUUCUUAACCAGAAAUAAGCUUAGACUACUGUGUCUUUAGCUAUAUAUGUACAAUAAACUUUGAUCUUUCUUGUUGUGUGUAAUAAUAAUGCCUAUGUUACUUAA
Vigna unguiculata (cowpea) is the source of this 527-nucleotide long non-coding RNA. RefSeq lists it as uncharacterized. The record is from RefSeq and is a predicted model, not a curated record. NCBI's taxonomy places the organism in Eukaryota, Viridiplantae, Streptophyta, Magnoliopsida, Fabales, Fabaceae.